Molecule: long non-coding RNA, 1765 nt
Filed under: Homo sapiens (human)
Lineage: Eukaryota; Metazoa; Chordata; Mammalia; Primates; Hominidae
Description: HSALNT0330931
Source: RNAcentral
GUGGCUGGUUCUCAACUCAUGCCUUCCUUCCCUGGCCACCCAAUUAAAGGCACACGGCCUCUUCCAUUCACUCUCAAUCACAUCGCCCUGUGGCAUUCUCCUAGCAACACUUUUCACAGAAAGAAAGAAAUGCUCUCAUCUCUUUCUUUCUCUCAUUGUUAUUUACAUUCCCUGGCAUGUAAGCUUCUUAAGAGAAAGGCUCUUGUUUGUCUUGUCCCCCCACUGUGCACUGUGGUUCUAGCAGCUAACACAGCAUCUGACUUGGAGUGGCUGCCCAGUACGCAUUUGAAGAAUGAAUGAAUGGAAAGUGAAUGAGCGAAUGGCUGGAGAGUAGAAGACGUGAGGGAUGGGGAAAGAAGAAAGACUGGAGAAGUGGGCAGGUGCCAGGCCUGGAAGACUGUACGUGGUGCUAAGAGGCCCCUGAAGGUAAUGGAAAGCCAAUCAAGGGUUUCUAGGAGGAUGUGAUGAGGAUGCGAUAAGGUAACACUGUGUUAUGUUGUUGGGAAUCAGUGAAGGUGGGAAACCUGGAACCCUGGAGAAAAUGAGUGACAACCAAAUCCUACGUUUGUUUGGUGUUUCCCCAUCAUCCCUCAAAGGGUGUGUAAGAUAGUGAGCCAUGUAGAAUAAGUAAUUAAUUAAUGCUGCGGGUUAAUAAGGGGUAGAUGACUCUCAAUUGCUACAUGCAAGCUGUUAUUUUCUCAUUUAGAAAAAGGAUCUUGUGGCUCACUGUGGAAAAUCAUCUUCCAGAAAAAAGAAAGAGACAUGUAUGUCGGCUCUGUCUAGAAUAUUUUCUCUGAACCAGAAUCUCUUUCCGUAGGGUAGCUGCCCUUGGCAACUCUCGGGUUACAAGAAGCUGGGCAGGAGAUUCCUGUGACAUUUCAGCAGAGUCACGAGUGGGUGGGAUGGGGAAGCUCCGAGCUGCAAAAUAGCUUGCAGUGCCUCGGAGAGGUGGCGCUGGCUAGCCUGGGACUUCCAACAUACAGCCUACAUUGAUGGCCUGAGACUUGUGGCAAAAAAGACUUUCAAAAUCUAAUUUGCUCACAUACAUGAACACCUGCCAGGAAGGAAUUUGAGGCCUUUGUUCUAAACAUGGAAAAGCUGAGUUCAUUUGCCCCAGAGGGGGCACCUGCAGGGAAAAGGAAAAAUGGUUUUAACCCUUUCCUUGAGUCAGAAAAUGAGGCCACCAGAUUCUCCUUUCAUCCUUCAAGUAUCAGAAAGGUCUGUGCUGUGAAUUCCACAGAUGAGAUUCAUUGCAAGAUGUGAGGGCAGAGGAAAUCCAUGGAAAUGAAAUCCACAUUCAAACUGGAUGCAUGCGUUCAGCAACUGGAAGCUGAGUUCAUAUUUCAUUGCCCAACUACCCUGACCACUUGGGAAUCGCAGGUUUGGAAGGACCCACAGCCAUUCUGUGGAAAUGGAUCUGCUUUCAGGACCGAAUCUCAGACUUCUUGGGGAAGGUUUCAGUGGCUGCCUUUGCUGUGCAGACCUGGAGAUGGGUCUGAUGAUCGGACACCUGAAUUAUCUGUGUGGCUGAGUUUCAAGAAGACCUGCUGGGGUGAAAUGAAAAUGGUGCCUACUAGAAGCCCCAGUGGCUUUGCUGGUGGAGGCUAGCUUGCUCAUGUCCUCAUACAGAAGCAGAGAUGCAAGCAAGUGAGAAGGUGGAAGGACUCAGGUCUUGGGCCUUACUCUGAGAACUAUAACACCAUUCCUUCUGCUGCAUUCUCUUGUCUAAAUGACAUGGAUGAAGCUGGAAGCCAUCAUUCUCAGC